CAGUCGCCACGGUAAUACGUAGGUGGCAAGCGUUGUCCGGAAUUAUUGGGCGUAAAGCGCGCGCAGGUGGUUUAAUAAGUCUGAUGUGAAAGCCCACGGCUCAACCGUGGAGGGUCAUUGGAAACUGUUAAACUUGAGUGCAGGAGAGAAAAGUGGAAUUCCUAGUGUAGCGGUGAAAUGCGUAGAGAUUAGGAGGAACACCAGUGGUGAAGGCGGCUUUUUGGCCUGUAACUGACACUGAGGCGCGAAAGCGUGGGGAGCAAACAGGAUUAGAUACCCCUGUAGUCCCUGUCUCUUAUAC
RNAcentral lists this ribosomal RNA (301 nucleotides) under uncultured bacterium. RNAcentral's name for it is "partial 16S ribosomal RNA". It matches the Rfam family "Bacterial small subunit ribosomal RNA", at positions 509 to 807 of the family's 1533-position model. The record is from RNAcentral.